GACGAACGCUGGCGGCGUGCUUAACACAUGCAAGUCGAACGGAAAGGCCCUGCUUUUGUGGGGUGCUCGAGUUGCGAACGGGUGAGUAACACGUGAGUAACCUGCCCUUGACUUUGGGAUAACUUCAGGAAACUGGGGCUAAUACCGGAUAGGAGCUCCUGCUGCAUGGUGGGGGUUGGAAAGUUUCGGCGGUUGGGGAUGGACUCGCGGCUUAUCAGCUUGUUGGUGGGGUAGUGGCUUACCAAGGCUUUGACGGGUAGCCGGCCUGAGAGGGUGACCGGACACAUUGGGACUGAGAUACGGCCCAGACCCCUACGGGAGGCAGCAGUGGGGAAUAUUGCACAAUGGGCGGAAGCAUGAUGCAGCAAAGCCGCGUGCGGGAUGACGGCAUUCGGGUUGUAAACCGCUUCCGCCUGUGACGAAGCGUGAGUGACGGUAAUGGGUAAAGAAGCACCGGCUAACUACGUG
RNAcentral lists this ribosomal RNA (468 nucleotides) under uncultured bacterium. RNAcentral's name for it is "partial 16S ribosomal RNA". It matches the Rfam family "Bacterial small subunit ribosomal RNA", at positions 28 to 507 of the family's 1533-position model. The record is from RNAcentral.